CUCUGUUAUUACUUUGCUCCUGUUCUGAACCCACCUGCAGCAAUGAGUGGACCAUCCAUCAAUUUUCUAUACCGCUUCUUCUCUUAAAGUCGAGAGGGUGAAAGAGGACAACCCUGAGCAGGAGGACACACUGCCAUUAAAAGAGGGCUGUAAUCCACCGGACUGUGUGUGUGAUGCAUUCAAGCGACGUUCAAGCAUUGUGGAGCUGCAUCAAGUUGUGGACCGUCACAUAUUUUGUCUUUAAAAAUACCAAAUGACCCAACGGCAGAACGCUGCCAGCAAGGCAGACAGAGGAGCUGGCGAGGAGGAAAGCCGACAAUUGAGCAAGCGGACGGGCAAACGGGCAAGCAGCCAGGCCAACCACCACACAGCGCCAGCCGACACCCGCGGGGCAGCAAAUCCCGGAGAGGGAGUGGGAGUGCCGCAGGGAGGCCAAGCACUAGAGUCGAGAUUAGACCUUUAUCUUUCUAAUCAUGACCAUCAAACUACAGACUAAAUUACAAUAUCAUUCAAGGAGCUUUACAAAUUUCAAGUAAAAGGUAUCGUCAUCACUAUCAGUAAUGGCUUGUAUUUACUUGGUAUAUUAGAUCGAUACCAAAAUUUCAACAAUUUCAAACAGUAUCCCCCAACCCUACUGAUGAUUAUAUGGUACACAGAUUUGAUGGGGCAUAAAAGUAAAACUCUUUGCAGAGAUGGAGUUCA
This is a long non-coding RNA of Dunckerocampus dactyliophorus (ringed pipefish), 702 nucleotides long. RefSeq lists it as uncharacterized. The record is from RefSeq and is a predicted model, not a curated record. Lineage: Eukaryota; Metazoa; Chordata; Actinopteri; Syngnathiformes; Syngnathidae. The transcript has 3 exons.